RNAcentral lists this long non-coding RNA (762 nucleotides) under Rattus norvegicus (Norway rat). Its description in RNAcentral is "long non-coding RNA NONRATT020073". The record is from RNAcentral. Lineage: Eukaryota; Metazoa; Chordata; Mammalia; Rodentia; Muridae.
ACAUAGCCCUACUAGACACUGAAACUGCCCUGCUUUGACCUUGGUUUUCUGGUGGAAACCGAUUCGUGUUCAUUUAGAGGUACAGAAUAGCACCCGCUGAGUGAACUGCGUGUACACUGUGGACUUCUGAGAUCAUGAACUUUGGAAGAAACUUUACUGGUUCUAAUAGACCCACCCGGAAGGUACAGCCCAGGAGGCAGGGGGCAGGGGAGCAUGAGCUGUCUGUACUUUGUGCUCAGUUCUCUUGCGAACCUAAAAUUAUUCUGAAGAAUUGUCUAUUAAUAAGACAAACGGAGAGAGAGCCACACCUGCCGAAGUCAGCUCCCCAGUGGCUUAGCCACUUUGCAUUUCUGGUACUAGAGACCCCCAGCCCUGCUGUCACUGCUUUUUCUGUGGACCUGUUCUCAAAGGCGACUGUGUCAUCUGUUUCCUUGUAAAUGAACAUCUCCUCAGAUGCCUUUGCCCUCUGGAAAAACACACUCUUCCUCCCUGGGUGAAAGUGCACAGCCACACCAGUGCCUCUGAGCUUCCAUGCUCAGGGCCGUGAGCCAGGAUCUCCCCCAACAUUAAAGGCACCAGCAUGUGAGUCGUCUACAUGUACACUCGGGCAGAACACCCAUACACAUACUACGAUAAAGACCAAUUACAGAAUCGAGCUGGAAAUGUGACUUGGUGGUGAAGCAUUUAACCAGGAAUGCACAGGCUGGGCUGGAUACCUAGCAUGGCAACAAACAAAAAUAAACUUUCCGUUUCUGAACAUAA